CCUACGGGAGGCAGCAGUGAGGAAUAUUGGUCAAUGGACGCAAGUCUGAACCAGCCAUGCCGCGUGCAGGAAGACGGCUCUAUGAGUUGUAAACUGCUUUUGUACGAGGGUAAACGCAGAUACGCGUACCUGUUUGAAAGUAUCGUACGAAUAAGGAUCGGCUAACUCCGUGCCAGCAGCCGCGGUAAUACGGAGGAUUCAAGCGUUAUCCGGUUUUAUUGGGUUUAAAGGGUGCGUAGGCGGGAGGAUAAGUUAGAGGUGAAAUCCCGAGGCUCAACUUCGGAAUUGCCUCUGAUACUGGUCGGCUAGAGAGUAGUUGCGGUAGGCGGAAUGUAUGGUGUAGCGGUGAAAUGCUUAGAGAUCAUACAGAACCCCGAUUGCGAAGGCAGCUUACCAAGCUACGUCUGACGUUGAGGCACGAAAGCGUGGGGAGCAAACAGGAUUAGAUACCCCGGUAGUC
Molecule: ribosomal RNA, 460 nt
Filed under: uncultured bacterium
Lineage: Bacteria
Description: partial 16S ribosomal RNA
Rfam family: Bacterial small subunit ribosomal RNA
Source: RNAcentral